This is a long non-coding RNA of Dipodomys spectabilis (banner-tailed kangaroo rat), 432 nucleotides long. RefSeq lists it as uncharacterized. Lineage: Eukaryota; Metazoa; Chordata; Mammalia; Rodentia; Heteromyidae. The record is from RefSeq and is a predicted model, not a curated record. The transcript has 3 exons.
CCGAGCGCCGGGAGCGGGCGCCCAAGUGCGGGGAGCAGCGGUACAGUGCCCACCCGGCCCGGCCCCGUCACGACCCCGGCCCCCUGGUCAUCCGGGGCUCCCGGACCCAACAUGAUCUCCCCGAUCAUCCGGAGCUCCCACACCCAACACGUCCCCCCUCGAUCAUCGGGGCUCCCCGAUCAUCCGGGCCGCGCGGAUGAAGAAUAAAAAUGAUCUUGGCUGCACGAUUUGGUAUAUUCUCAGCAACUAGGUUUUUGGGGACACGGCGACAUCUAAGCAGGACACCCAGAAAUGGGGGUUUUUACCCGGUGACAUUUGACCAGGAGGCCCCAGUCCACCGUGGCCGGGGCACGCCACUCUGCUAAGAAGCAGUCUAACUAGUGCAGACUCCACACUGCAUUCUUACUGGCUUUUCUGCUUCAGGAGCUCUGU